AACGAACGCUGGCGGCAGGCUUAACACAUGCAAGUCGAACGCCCCGCAAGGGGAGUGCCUGAUGUGUGUGUAACGCGUGGGAACAUACCCUUUUUUACGGGAUAGCUCUGGGAAACUGGCAUUAAUAUCGCAUACGCCCUAUGGGGGUAAGAUUCAACGGGGAAGGAUUGGCCCGCGUUGGAUUAGCUAGUUGGUGGGGUAAAGGCCUGCCAAGGCGACGAGCCAUAGCUGGUCUGAGAGGAUGAUCAGCCACAUUGGGACUGAGACACGGCCCAGACUCCUACGGGAGGCAGCAGUGGGGAAUAUUGGCCAAUGGGCGCAAGCCUGAUCCAGCCAUGCCGCGUGAGUGAUGAAGGCCUUAGGGUUGUAAAGCUCUUUCACCGAUGAAGAUAAUGACGGUAGUCGGAGAAGAAGCCCCGGCUAACUUCGUG
RNAcentral lists this ribosomal RNA (431 nucleotides) under uncultured bacterium. RNAcentral describes it as "partial 16S ribosomal RNA". It matches the Rfam family "Bacterial small subunit ribosomal RNA", at positions 29 to 507 of the family's 1533-position model. The record is from RNAcentral.